Vespula vulgaris is the source of this 957-nucleotide long non-coding RNA. RefSeq lists it as uncharacterized. The record is from RefSeq and is a predicted model, not a curated record. The transcript is spliced from 3 exons. Lineage: Eukaryota; Metazoa; Arthropoda; Insecta; Hymenoptera; Vespidae.
UUUAUAUUUUCGUCAUAACGCGUUACCUGGAGUAAUCUACAAUUGCAAUUACCAUUGCAUUCUGAGCGACGCGACGUUAUUAUCCGAUGUCACAGUCAUAAUUAUGAGAUCCUAUGAAUUAGCGGACCAAAUCGGAUCGGUUGAUAGGAAUUUACAAUCCGUUUCCUGAACUAGUGCUUCAUUACGUAUAAAAGUAUCAUGAGAGAAUGGCGUAUUGAACUAUUUUUUAUUUAAUACGAGACUGCAAAGCACAUUAUAUUUUAUGGUUGUAUAUAAAAAAUUAAUCGAUGAUAUCUUUGUUCUCGGAGAAAGUUGACUAAACAAAAAACAGGUUACUGGAACGAAACGUAUAUUAUAUGAAGGAAAGAAAAGAAAAAAUAAGAUUACCUUUGACCCGAGCUCGUCAAGAGAGUGAAGCCGAAGAGAAUGAACGUAUGAAACGGACGUCGUUGGAGAAUCGAGCUCCUUCUCCUUCUUCAAGGAACUUACGACGAAAGUGUAACAGUAGGUUUCUCAAAGCAUCAACUAGACGCUCCCUGUUCGCUGGAGAUGAACAAGUUUAUCCGAUAUAUGGAGACGUACGAAAUCAGUCGAAGUUAACAACGCAUUGCUGCACGCUCUGUCGAGAGUUUGGUGGAAGGAGAAAGUCAUCCACCUGGUAGAUAGAUAGAUCUCUACCUUUUGGAUCAUCAUUAAGUCUCCAGCUCUGCAGUAGAGAAGAGACAAGAAAAGAGAAAAAUUCUAUAGACCUGUUUGUUGCAAAGAAAAAUAUAAUCUCCUCGAAUCGAGGACUCGUGCUAGUACUCAAUUUGAUCAAAGUAUUAUAUCGAGUGUUAGAUAUUUGAAAACAUGAUAUCGGUGUCUAUCCUUUUGCGAAGGAGUCAUAGUGUACAAGUGUUGUAUUCUUCGUUUUAAUUCAAACGAGUUUACUAUUCAAUAAUUAUGAUCUUGAAAGGA